GGAUCCAGACUUUGAUUCUGGCUCAGGACGAACGCUGGCGGCGUGCCUAACACAUGCAAGUCGAACGGAACUUCUUUAAAGGAUUUCUUCGGAAUGAAUUUGAUUAAGUUUAGUGGCGGACGGGUGAGUAACGCGUGAGUAACCUGCCUCUAAGAGGGGAAUAACAUUCUGAAAAGAAUGCUAAUACCGCAUAACAUAUAUUUAUCGCAUGGUAGAUAUAUCAAAGAUUUAUCGCUCAGAGAUGGACUCGCGUCCGAUUAGUUAGUUGGUGAGGUAACGGCUCACCAAGACCGCGAUCGGUAGCCGGACUGAGAGGUUGAACGGCCACAUUGGGACUGAGACACGGCCCAGACUCCUACGGGAGGCAGCAGUGGGGGAUAUUGCGCAAUGGGGGAAACCCUGACGCAGCAACGCCGCGUGAAGGAUGAAGGUCUUCGGAUUGUAAACUUCUUUUAUUAAGGACGAAGAAAGUGACGGUACUUAAUGAAUAAGCUCCGGCUAACUACGUGCCAGCAGCCGCGGUAAUACGUAGGGAGCAAGCGUUGUCCGGAUUUACUGGGUGUAAAGGGUGCGUAGGCGGCUUUGCAAGUCAGAUGUGAAAUCUAUGGGCUCAACCCAUAGCCUGCAUUUGAAACUGCAGAGCUUGAGUGAAGUAGAGGCAGGCGGAAUUCCCCGUGUAGCGGUGAAAUGCGUAGAGAUGGGGAGGAACACCAGUGGCGAAGGCGGCCUGCUGGGCUUUAACUGACGCUGAGGCACGAAAGCGUGGGUAGCAAACAGGAUUAGAUACCCUGGUAGUCCACGCUGUAAACGAUGAUUACUAGGUGUGGGGGGUCUGACCCCUUCCGUGCCGGAGUUAACACAAUAAGUAAUCCACCUGGGGAGUACGGCCGCAAGGUUGCAACUCAAAGGAAUUGACGG
RNAcentral lists this ribosomal RNA (918 nucleotides) under uncultured Bacillota bacterium. RNAcentral describes it as "bacterial SSU rRNA". It matches the Rfam family "Bacterial small subunit ribosomal RNA", at positions 1 to 916 of the family's 1533-position model. The record is from RNAcentral. Lineage: Bacteria; Bacillati; Bacillota.